Molecule: ribosomal RNA, 225 nt
Filed under: uncultured Acinetobacter sp.
Lineage: Bacteria; Pseudomonadati; Pseudomonadota; Gammaproteobacteria; Moraxellales; Moraxellaceae
Description: partial 16S ribosomal RNA
Rfam family: Bacterial small subunit ribosomal RNA
Source: RNAcentral
CGCGUAGGUGGCCAAUUAAGUCAAAUGUGAAAUCCCCGAGCUUAACUUGGGAAUUGCAUUCGAUACUGGUUGGCUAGAGUAUGGGAGAGGAUGGUAGAAUUCCAGGUGUAGCGGUGAAAUGCGUAGAUAUCAGGAGGAAUACCGAUGGUGAAGGCAGCCAUCUGGCCUAAUACUGACACUGAGGUGCGAAAGCAUGGGGAGCAAACAGGAUUAGAUACCCGCGUA